GGGCUUAGUGGCUCCCGGGUGAGUAACGCGUGAGAAUCUGGCCAUAGGUUGGGGACAACCACUGGAAACGGUGGCUAAUACCGAAUAAGCCGAGAGGUGAAAGAUUAAUUGCCUAAGGAAGAGCUCGCGUCUGAUUAGCUAGUUGGUGGGGUAAGAGCCUACCAAGGCACCGAUCAGUAACUGGUCUGAGAGGAUGGCCAGUCACACUGGGACUGAGACACGGCCCAGACUCCUACGGGAGGCAGCAGUGGGGAAUUUUCCGCAAUGGGCGAAAGCCUGACGGAGCAAUACCGCGUGGGGGAGGAAGGCUCUUGGGUCGUAAACCUCUUUUCUCAGGGAAGAACAAAAUGACGGUACCUGAGGAAUAAGCAUCGGCUAACUCCGUGCCAGCAGCCGCGGUAAUACGGAGGAUGCAAGCGUUAUCCGGAAUGAUUGGGCGUAAAGCGUCCGCAGGUGGCAGUACAAGUCUGCUGUUAAAGGUCAAGGCUUAACUUUGAACAGGCAGUGGAAACUGUACAGCUAGAGUGCGGUGGGGGCAGAGGGAAUUCCCAGUGUAGCGGUGAAAUGCGUAGAGAUUGGGAAGAACACCAGUGGCGAAAGCGCUCUGCUAGGCCGCAACUGACACUCAGGGACGAAAGCUAGGGGAGCGAAUGGGAUUAGAUACCCCAGUAGUCCUAGCCGUAACGAUGGAUACUAGGUGUAGCUUUGUAUCGACCCAGGCUGUGCCGUAGCUAACGCGUUAAGUAUCCCCCUGGGGAGUACCCCGCAACGGUGAAACUCAAGGAAUUGACGGGGCCCGCACA
This 803-nucleotide ribosomal RNA is filed under the name uncultured cyanobacterium. RNAcentral's name for it is "bacterial SSU rRNA". It matches the Rfam family "Bacterial small subunit ribosomal RNA", at positions 88 to 927 of the family's 1533-position model. The record is from RNAcentral. Lineage: Bacteria; Bacillati; Cyanobacteriota.